AUACUAUUACGGUUGCAUAGUUAAGCAGAUUGAAUCAUGUAAUUAACCAUUUGCCCUUAUGUAUCU
Small nucleolar RNA from Otolemur garnettii (small-eared galago), 66 nucleotides. Lineage: Eukaryota; Metazoa; Chordata; Mammalia; Primates; Galagidae. The record is from Ensembl.